GCUACCAUGCAGUCGACGAUGAACCACUUCGGUGGGGAUUAGUGGCGAACGGGUGAGUAACACGUGGGCAAUCUGCCCUGCACUCUGGGACAAGCCCUGGAAACGGGGUCUAAUACCGGAUACUGAUCCUCGCAGGCAUCUGCGAGGUUCGAAAGCUCCGGCGGUGCAGGAUGAGCCCGCGGCCUAUCAGCUAGUUGGUGAGGUAACGGCUCACCAAGGCGACGACGGGUAGCCGGCCUGAGAGGGCGACCGGCCACACUGGGACUGAGACACGGCCCAGACUCCUACGGGAGGCAGCAGUGGGGAAUAUUGCACAAUGGGCGAAAGCCUGAUGCAGCGACGCCGCGUGAGGGAUGACGGCCUUCGGGUUGUAAACCUCUUUCAGCAGGGAAGAAGCGAAAGUGACGGUACCUGCAGAAGAAGCGCCGGCUAACUACGUGCCAGCAGCCGCGGUAAUACGUAGGGCGCAAGCGUUGUCCGGAAUUAUUGGGCGUAAAGAGCUCGUAGGCGGCUUGUCACGUCGGUUGUGAAAGCCCGGGGCUUAACCCCGGGUCUGCAGUCGAUACGGGCAGGCUAGAGUUCGGUAGGGGAGAUCGGAAUUCCUGGUGUAGCGGUGAAAUGCGCAGAUAUCAGGAGGAACACCGGUGGCGAAGGCGGAUCUCUGGGCCGAUACUGACGCUGAGGAGCGAAAGCGUGGGGAGCGAACAGGAUUAGAUACCCUGGUAGUCCACGCCGUAAACGGUGGGCACUAGGUGUGGGCAACAUUCCACGUUGUCCGUGCCGCAGCUAACGCAUUAAGUGCCCCGCCUGGGGAGUACGGCCGCAAGGCUAAAACUCAAAGGAAUUGACGGGGGCCCGCACAAGCGGCGGAGCAUGUGGCUUAAUUCGACGCAACGCGAAGAACCUUACCAAGGCUUGACAUACACCGGAAAACCCUGGAGACAGGGUCCCCCUUGUGGUCGGUGUACAGGUGGUGCAUGGCUGUCGUCAGCUCGUGUCUUGAGAUGUUGGGUUAAGUCCCGCAACGAGCGCAACCCUUGUCCCGUGUUGCCAGCAGGCCCUUGUGGUGCUGGGGACUCACGGGAGACCGCCGGGGUCAACUCGGAGGAAGGUGGGGACGACGUCAAGUCAUCAUGCCCCUUAUGUCUUGGGCUGCACACGUGCUACAAUGGCCGGUACAAUGAGCUGCGAUACCGCGAGGUGGAGCGAAUCUCAAAAAGCCGGUCUCAGUUCGGAUUGGGGUCUGCAACUCGACCCCAUGAAGUCGGAGUCGCUAGUAAUCGCAGAUCAGCAUUGCUGCGGUGAAUACGUUCCCGGGCCUUGUACACACCGCCCGUCACGUCACGAAAGUCGGUAACACCCGAAGCCGGUGGCCCAACCCCUUGUGGGAGGGAGC
This 1396-nucleotide ribosomal RNA is filed under the name Streptomyces sp. enrichment culture clone Y3101. RNAcentral describes it as "bacterial SSU rRNA". It matches the Rfam family "Bacterial small subunit ribosomal RNA". The record is from RNAcentral. Lineage: Bacteria; Bacillati; Actinomycetota; Actinomycetes; Kitasatosporales; Streptomycetaceae.